GUUGAUCUGCUUUAGCAUCUUUAGUGCUAUAUGCAAUCAGUAAAUCUAAAAUGGUGCUAAAGAUUGGUUAGAUAUUCAUGUUUAAAUCAAUAUAAGAUUAUAGUCCCUAUUUUCGAUAGCUAAGCAUAAUUUAUUUGAAAUUCCUUUUUACGUAAGAAUAAAAUAAAUUAUAUCAGUAAAUCUCUCCCCAGACUUAAAUUACACUGUCCCAA
This 212-nucleotide long non-coding RNA is filed under the name Brassica rapa (field mustard). Its description in RNAcentral is "long non-coding RNA (BRAP_LNC008051)". Lineage: Eukaryota; Viridiplantae; Streptophyta; Magnoliopsida; Brassicales; Brassicaceae. The record is from RNAcentral.